AUUGAACGCUGGCGGCAUGCUUUACACAUGCAAGUCGAACGGUAACAGGUUAAGCUGACGAGUGGCGAACGGGUGAGUAAUGCAUCGGAACGUGCCCGAUCGUGGGGGAUAACGCAGCGAAAGCUGCGCUAAUACCGCAUACGAUCUGAGGAUGAAAGCGGGGGACCGUAAGGCCUCGCGCGAUCGGAGCGGCCGAUGUCAGAUUAGGUAGUUGGUGGGGUAAAGGCCCACCAAGCCGACGAUCUGUAGCUGGUCUGAGAGGACGACCAGCCACACUGGGACUGGGACACGGUCCAGACUCCUACGGGAGGCAGCAGUGGGGAAUUUUGGACAAUGGACGCAAGUCUGAUCCAGCCAUUCCGCGUGCAGGAUGAAGGCCCUCGGGUUGUAAACUGCUUUUGUACGGAACGAAAAGGUCUCUCUUAAUACGGGGGGCUCAUGACGGUACCGUAAGAAUAAGCACCGGCUAACUACGUGCCAGCCGCCGCCGUAA
This 493-nucleotide ribosomal RNA is filed under the name uncultured bacterium. Its description in RNAcentral is "partial 16S ribosomal RNA". It matches the Rfam family "Bacterial small subunit ribosomal RNA", at positions 30 to 523 of the family's 1533-position model. The record is from RNAcentral.